Long non-coding RNA from Mus musculus (house mouse), 277 nucleotides. RefSeq annotates it as predicted gene, 35880. The transcript has 3 exons. NCBI's taxonomy places the organism in Eukaryota, Metazoa, Chordata, Mammalia, Rodentia, Muridae. The record is from RefSeq and is a predicted model, not a curated record.
CUCCGCCCCGUUUUGCGCGCAGCCGUGGGAUCUCGGAGGAGGGCGUCCAUUAGGCCGCGUGUGACCAUGUAAGGAAGAGAACUUGACCCCAAGACUUGGAAUGGACAAUUGAAAGCCACCCCUGACCCCUUCCCUACCCAGAUCAUAACUUAACAGCUCCACUGUUAUAAUCUGAAGAGACAUCUGAAGCAUCAAACUUGCCUUUCUCACCCGCCAACCAGGCCACAGGAGUGAGAACGACAAGUGUGACCAACGCCCUCUACAGUGUUUUUCAGGU